UAACUGUAUAUGGACUGGCUUCUAACU
This 27-nucleotide non-coding RNA is filed under the name Cricetulus griseus (Chinese hamster). The record is from RNAcentral. Lineage: Eukaryota; Metazoa; Chordata; Mammalia; Rodentia; Cricetidae.